Molecule: ribosomal RNA, 733 nt
Filed under: uncultured bacterium
Lineage: Bacteria
Description: bacterial SSU rRNA
Rfam family: Bacterial small subunit ribosomal RNA
Source: RNAcentral
CGGAGAUUCGUCAAAGUUUCCUUUGACUUAGUGGCGGACGGGUGAGUAAUGCGUGAGCAACCUGCCUUUCAGAGGGGGACAACAGUUGGAAACGACUGCUAAUACCGCAUAAUGUAUUUAGGAGGCAUCUCCCGGAUACCAAAGGAGCAAUCCGCUGAAAGAUGGGCUCACGUCUGAUUAGCUAGUUGGUGAGGUAACGGCUCACCAAGGCUGCGAUCAGUAGCCGGACUGAGAGGUUGAACGGCCACAUUGGGACUGAGAUACGGCCCAGACUCCUACGGGAGGCAGCAGUGGGGAAUAUUGGGCAAUGGGCGAAAGCCUGACCCAGCAACGCCGCGUGAAGGAAGAAGGUCUUCGGAUUGUAAACUUCUUUUAUGAGGGACGAAGGACGUGACGGUACCUCAUGAAUAAGCCACGGCUAACUACGUGCCAGCAGCCGCGGUAAUACGUAGGUGGCGAGCGUUAUCCGGAUUUACUGGGUGUAAAGGGCGCGUAGGCGGGGAUGCAAGUCAGAUGUGAAAUCCAUGGGCUCAACCCAUGAACUGCAUUUGAAACUGUAUUUCUUGAGUGCUGGAGAGGUAGACGGAAUUCCUUGUGUAGCGGUGAAAUGCGUAGAUAUAAGGAAGAACACCAGUGGCGAAGGCGGUCUACUGGACAGUAACUGACGCUGAGGCGCGAAAGUGUGGGGAGCAAACAGGAUUAGAUACCCUGGUAGUCCACACCGUAAACGAUG